RNAcentral lists this ribosomal RNA (253 nucleotides) under uncultured bacterium. RNAcentral's name for it is "partial 16S ribosomal RNA". It matches the Rfam family "Bacterial small subunit ribosomal RNA", at positions 524 to 776 of the family's 1533-position model. The record is from RNAcentral.
UACGGAGGGUGCAGGCGUUACUCGGAAUUACUGGGCGUAAAGGGCGCGUAGGCGGUUUUGUAAGUCUGAUGUGAAAGCCCUGGGCUCAACCCAGGAAGUGCAUUGGAUACUGCAAGACUAGAGUACAGGAGAGGAUGGCGGAAUUCCCGGUGUAGAGGUGAAAUUCGUAGAUAUCGGGAGGAACAACGGAGGCGAAAGCGGCCAUCUGGACUGUAACUGACGCUGAGGCGCGAAAGCGUGGGGAGCAAACAGG